Non-coding RNA from Camellia sinensis, 1240 nucleotides. The record is from RefSeq and is a predicted model, not a curated record. Lineage: Eukaryota; Viridiplantae; Streptophyta; Magnoliopsida; Ericales; Theaceae.
AAAUGUUGAGGUUCUUCGGAGAUACCAUGUUGGUGACUGGGGUACAUAGGUAAGUGUGUGUGUGUGUGUGAGCACAUGCAUAUCUGUAUCUGUGUGUUUGUUUUCUCUCUUUCAUCUUGAAAUUUUAUAUAAGUUCUGUCAAAAUUAUUUAUUUUUUGAUGAGGCUUAGUAAUGGGUUGUCCCAUUUUAUGAGUAAACCUUUUCAUUUGGAUCAAAAUAAUUUCUUGGGUGAAAUAGUGGUUUUAAGUUCUUCAGUGCCUUUUCCCUCCUUGAUAUGUGAUUGGAGAAGGAACUCCAACAGGCCCUUAUUGUGUUAAGUGGAAAAAUUAUAAUUUUUUAUUGAUUAUUGCUGCUCUAGAAGGUGAUAAUAUUAUGACCUAUGUGUUGUCUGAAUUAUGAAAGUCUAUUUUGAUAAUUUUUUUGUUGCUUUCCUAUUAUGUCUUAAAGAUGUAAUUUAUGUUCUGCAGUUUGGUAUGCUAAUUGAAUUUCUGUUCGAAAAAUUUCCAAACGUGGUGGUUGUCAAUGAUCAAGCUAUCGGAGAUCUCAAGGUGAGAUAAAUUUUUUGGAAAUUAGGUGAAAUUCUUGAAUUUGUACAGACGGAAUACUUCUUCAUGUUACUUGAAUAUUUUUUGAUGCUACGUUCAAGCAACAAAGUCCCUUGCUUAUAUUAGCAAACAAUUCAAGUAACUAGUUGCUUGUGCUGCUUUGAGCAACUUAUGCCUUCGCUGUAGACAACUAAUUAGCACGAUUCAAUUUUUUUUUCAUUGAAAUGAAUCAUGAAAUUCAACGAAAGUGGGUAUUAUUGAUUUAACUUGAAUGCUAUCAUUAGGCAUUCUAUAAGGCAUCAAAACAAAGACUUGACAGUGAUCUUGAAUUUAAGAAGAGGGCACAACAAGCGGUGGUCAGUCUCCAGGGUGAGGAAGAGAAGUAUCGGAAGGCAUGGGCACAAAUCUGUGAAAUCAACCAAAGGGGAUAUCAAAGAGUUUAUCAACUUCUAGGAAUUAAAGAUAGAGAAGAUGCAACUCCUUUUGAGUAUGUGAUGAUAUCUUAACAUCAAUACUAGAGCUUACUGUUGAUAUUAAAACAAACUAUAAUAUAUAUGUUUUUUUAUUUGUAUUGUCGAUACUUUUGUUUUGCUUUAGAUACAAAAAUUUAAGCUCUUCAAUAUAAAAAAUUAUUAGUAUUGUUGGAGGUUGGUUUAUAUAUUUUUGUAAAGAAUAUUUGGUUGACAAUUAUUACA